This 3586-nucleotide long non-coding RNA is filed under the name Rattus norvegicus (Norway rat). RNAcentral's name for it is "long non-coding RNA NONRATT030108". Lineage: Eukaryota; Metazoa; Chordata; Mammalia; Rodentia; Muridae. The record is from RNAcentral.
CUAUUGUCCUUGGGGGCACAGGCUGGGGAUUUAAAAACGUCAAGAAGAGGAGAUUCGAUCCCACUCAGCAAGGCCCCAUCUGAAUCAGCUGCACUGGAGGAGUGCCACCUUGCACUGUGGGGUUCUGGCAAUGACAUGCUUUCCACCAUGCUGCUGGAACUCUUAAGUCUGUAAACAAGACCAUUGGGUGGUAAUGACUACAGAGCUCAAAUCUGAGGACGGGGAUGGGGUACAACACAACAGUCCCUUUUGGAAAUAACUUCAAGUAACCCCCUCUAUCACCUGUCAAUAAAGGGGAGGGGUUAAAGACCACGUCAUUAUAAAAAAACUGUUCAGAAUCCUUUAUUUUUCUUUCUUUUUAACUAAAGGAGAAGGGAGCAGCAACAAGUGCAAUAAAAGAACAAAUCGCCAGUGACCCCCCCUUAGCCUGCUGACACUUAAUAUCUUCUAAAGGAUUUGGCAUGAUUUUUUUUCCUUUUACUAUCAAAGACAAACUCCAGCGGCAUGAAGAUCCAAUUUUGGAAAGGGUAAAAACUGCAUGGCAUAUAUAACAACAAGCUAGCAAGCCAGCCUUCAGCAAAUCCUACCGUGGAAAUCCCGAGGGGAAGAUGACAGACGACCACACAGACGCUGCCUGGCUUUGGAUUAAUGCCUUCCCACUCCUCCACCUCCGUCCUGGCCCACCUUUUCCCUCCAUGCCCCUCGGCCCACUCUGGACCGGCCGUGGCAGCACUCAUCUGGACUGUGUUCUUGAUGCCCUGUACCCAUUAUUUCUCUCCUGGACCAAGCAUCCUUUGGAAAUGGGAUCUGGAACUUGAACAGUGCUAUUGUACAGUUCUUUUAUAAAUGUAGAUAUGGAAGUGAGGUUUUGACACGCCAUUUUCGCUUGUCUCUAUGGAAAUGUUUUCCUCGCAAAGAUACUCUCUAUACUUUGUUGCUUGCUCCACAUCUUCUUUAUCUUUCUUUUUCCUCUUGUUUUCCUCCUUUGUCUCUGUCCUCUCUUAUAACAUAUCCACUUGCUUAACAAGACAGACGUAGCCACAGAUGCAGGGAGUUUGGGCACAAAUCUAGAAUGUUUGAAACCAAAUAUUAAAAAAAACCUAGGGGGCUGGGGGGGGGACCACAAAACAACCCAUAACAAGAACACAAAAUAUGUAAGUGUGAGUGUAUAUGUACUGAUGACCCUAACAUGUUUGAUGUCAUCAUAAGCACAUGUAUAUACCGUAGGGAAACCGAGACCCUUCUCAAGUUAAUCACAGAAGUGCCAAACUCAUCAUUCUCGCUUCUGGUUUCGACAGUUCUCUUUCCCUGUCAUAAAUGUGAAAGGAGGAGGAACUUAAAGCCUUAAAUAAAGAAUUAAUAACUUUUAAAUGCUGGAAGCUUGGAGACAGUUCAGCUUUCCAUUCUGUUCAUCUGUAUCUAUUUAAUUUUUUUUGAUAAAUUUCAUUUAUGCUUCCUCUUCCUGCCUCAGAGCCUGUGUGACAGAGCCCAGUGUAGACAGCAGGUCAUCUCUGAUCAUUUCUGCAUGGUGGUUUCGGGACUCUCCCGACCUCUGUGUUUUGCUGGACCAUGGACUCUGGGUUGUGAUGGGAUUCCACUAUGUCUGAGUCCAUACGCUUCUUUUUUCCCCCAAGUGGCCAGGGAGAUAGAGUCUUGGCAUUCCCAAGGCUGAGUUUCCCUCAUCUUCCCCCAUUGCAAUUCUAAGGGAACAGGCUAUUGAGGAGGUCCUCUCCUAGGUUUGCUUUGGACAUACAGAUAUACAGUGAAAACCCAUCAAGGACUCGACCUGCCAGAGAGCCCUACUUCUUCACUGGCCCACUUUUAGCAAGAACAUCCAGAUGAACUAUGCAUUUCUUCCUGGCGUUGAGGUACUUUUACAUUUAGCUCUUAGCCCCUCUCUGGCAAGACUUAAGUUUUACAUUUUCCUCGACUGGGAGGAGGAUUUCCUAAUGGGCUUCAUGAAACUGGACUUUCCCUCUUCCCCCAAAGAUAUCUUUAAUUGUUGACAUUUCACCCUCACAGAGUAGAAACCUUGAUUGCUAUGUACAACCCCAGACCAUAACUUAACAUCCUAACCUUCAGAUGGCUUUCUGAGAAACAGGUGCUAUGUAGGUAUGCAGUCUGUCGCUUGAACUUGCUGUUUGUUUCUAUAGUAAUAACAGGGCUCUCUGAAGGCGAGUUGGCCUUAUUUCUGGUUCCAGAAGACACGGGUUGUAUCCCUUUACUUAAUGGCAGUGGUUCAGUUGGAGGAAGGUCAGAGGAAACUCAGAUGGUAUCUCUUCCUGUUGUUGCAAUGUUUCGGGGUCCACUUCACUAUGAGAUACCAAGCAGCUGCCAACCUCACUGUACUCAUUUCAUUACUAUUCCCGAGGCACCAUGGUGAGUUUUUCCAACAUAAAACCAUGUCAGUUACAAAACAGAUCUCCCUUGAUAACUUUGGAACAUUUCACAAACAACAUUGUAAAUGUGCGAUGUUAUGUUUUAAAUCAGACCACAGUGGUCCCCAAAUAUUAUGUACAUAUGACAAAUGCCAGUGUAACUUUUUGUUACGCUGACAGUUUCAUAGGUAAACCAACCUAUGCUCCAAUGUUAAAUUACGUGUGUAUAUGUGAAAUACACAAGCAUUAAGCUAAGUGUGUAUGGACACGAGGGUAGUGCAAUCAUACUGUAUAAAAUGGGCCAGAAUCAUUUUCAGUGGUGUUAGGUCAUGUAGUUUCAGACUCGUUGCUGCAUUUUCUCUUGCACAUGCCAUCCAUUUGCUUAUUCUUGGGCGUGAGUACUCCUUAUUAAUUUGAAUUCAAAGCACAAGCCUCCCCUUGUUCAACAUUGCCCAACGAGAGUGUCAAGUGAUGGCCAAGUUCCCACUUCACCUGCUCUACUUUUACUGCGACACUGACGAGGAGGUGUGCGCUGACCUCAUUGCUCACCCGGGAUAGUGCAUGAACCCACUGAAUUAGACCUACUUCUACCAGCUAAGUGAGCAGUACCAUAGGUGCAUGUUUCAACAGGAGUCACAUAGAGUGCUGGAGUUUUGCCAAGUGAUGUGUUUUCUUUUUUUCCUUUUCUUAUUUCUCUUUCUUUCUUUCUUCCUUUCUUUCUUCCUUCCUUUCUUUCUUUUUUUUUUACUAUGCAAAGAUGGGAAAUGCACAAACCUCCAAGACAUGUCUGAAGAACUUUACAAUACUUGAAUCCUUUCUUUAAUUAUCCCAUCACAUUGUUAUGGUCACUGACACUUCCAUUGUUGUUUUUCCUUUCUUUUGUUCCCUUCAACUCCAAUGGUUUGUGAUUUUUAAAUGCACAACCCGAACUUUUGUUUGAAGUUAAAUUCUAACCCUCUUUGCUGCCUGUGAGCAAAGAUUCCAUCAUGCUUAUAUGCAUCUUUUGGUUGACUGUGCAUUAAAAGUUUUAUUAUUGUAGGAUGUCGCGGUUUUGUGCUUUGACUGGUGUUUCUUAACUCUCGUUUCUUCUGUGUUUUCUUGCAUUAUUGGUCAAGUGGCUAUGUGCCUGGGAUUUGGCAGUCUCAAUCAAAGGUUCACUGCAAACUGAAGCAGCCAAUGGAGCAAAAUAAACUUUCUGGUUAAUGGUU